CGAGUUUGAUCCUGGCUCAGGAUAAACGCUAGCGGCAGGCCUAACACAUGCAAGUCGAGGGGCAGCGUGACGGGUAGCAAUACCUGUUGACGGCGACCGGCGCACGGGUGCGUAACGCGUAUGUAACCUACCGUUCACAGGGGGAUAGUCAGAGGAAACUUUGAAUAAUACCGCAUAAAACAGGGGUCCGGCAUCGGAAUAUUUGUUAAAGGUGGCGACACGGUGAACGAUGGGCAUGCGUUCGAUUAGAUAGUUGGAGAGGUAACGG
This 268-nucleotide ribosomal RNA is filed under the name uncultured bacterium. RNAcentral describes it as "partial 16S ribosomal RNA". It matches the Rfam family "Bacterial small subunit ribosomal RNA", at positions 9 to 263 of the family's 1533-position model. The record is from RNAcentral.